GACGAACGCUGGCGGCGUGCUUAACACAUGCAAGUCGAACGGAAAGGCCCUGCUUUUGUGGGGUGCUCGAGUGGCGAACGGGUGCGUAACACGUGAGUAACCUGCCCUUGACUUUGGGAUAACUUCAGGAAACUGGGGCUAAUACCGGAUAGGAGCUCCUGCUGCAUGGUGGGGGUUGGAAAGUUUCGGCGGUUGGGGAUGGACUGGCGGCUUAUCAGCUUGUUGGUGGGGUAGUGGCUUACCAAGGCUGUGACGGGUAGGCGGCCUGAGAGGGUGAACGGCCACAUGGGGACUGAGAUACGGCCCAGACUCCUACGGGAGGCAGCAGGGGGGAAUAUUGCACAAUGGGCGGAAGUCUGAUGCAGCAACGCCGCGUGCGGGAUGACGGCCUUCGGGUUGUAAACCGCUUUCGCCUGUGACGAAGCGUGAGUGACGGUAAUGGGUAAAGAAGCACCGGCUAACUACGUG
RNAcentral lists this ribosomal RNA (468 nucleotides) under uncultured bacterium. RNAcentral's name for it is "partial 16S ribosomal RNA". It matches the Rfam family "Bacterial small subunit ribosomal RNA", at positions 28 to 507 of the family's 1533-position model. The record is from RNAcentral.